Long non-coding RNA from Xenopus tropicalis (tropical clawed frog), 2268 nucleotides. RefSeq lists it as uncharacterized. The transcript has 2 exons. The record is from RefSeq and is a predicted model, not a curated record. NCBI's taxonomy places the organism in Eukaryota, Metazoa, Chordata, Amphibia, Anura, Pipidae.
ACACCACAGUCCUUAAUGCUUGUCAUUCUUUCAAACUCCUCACAGACUCCAUCACCAUCAUGAAAAUAGCAUCUGCUGGGCUCAUCUGCAAUGGGAUAGACAUGUUUUUACUUCCAGCUGCCAGAAAGAUGCUUGUAUAGAAAAUAGACAGCAGGUGCCGACACCAACACGCCUUCCUCUCCGCUCCUGCACCAGUGAGGUCCAUGUGGGGGCCAAGGGAUUGAAGGAGGCCCCAAGGGGAUCCUAAGGUCUUCCUCAUUAAAAAUCUGGCAUGGAGUGGCACACAAAGGACAUGAAAAGAAAAUGAAAACUGGAAGGAAAGAUUGUGGGAUGCAAAUAAACUAAGCUACAGAAACAAGACAAUCUGAUAAAAGUCAAUGGAUAUGACAAACAUCUAGACAAGUGGGCAGCAUAGCAAUAUAUUUAUAGAGCACGUUUUUAUCUACAUAUAAGCAGUUAAUACUGAGCAAUUAGAAUUGUAUUAUUUAAGACUAAUACCAAUGCAUUAAUAAUGUUAAAAGUACAGCACAGUGAUGUAUAAUGUUGUAAAGACAACAAGAGACUCCACAAUCUAUUUUCCAGCUAUAAAAGAGUGGAAGUUCACAGGACUCUAAUUUAUAGCCAUGCACAUUUUCUUUGUUCAUUUAACCUUAUUAGGAAUGCCAUUUUAAUAUCAUAAAUAAAUAUGUAGAUUGUCUGUACAUGUCAAGGAAAAGCCCUAAGUUCUGCCUGACAAAAACUCCUUGCUGGCACAACUUACUCGGUACAAAUAAGGAUGUAUGCCUGUGGGGUCUAGGCAGAAUUGGUUGUUAUGGAUCUAUGGAGGGAUUUGAUUUCAUUUUAUGCUCUUGGCAACAAAUGAGAGAUUUGAACUCUUUAGAAGUGGAAUGAGUUUAAAAUAUAACAAUAAAGGCUUCUAUACUUGGGUAUUUAUUUCUCCAUUUAAGUUGCACCAAAUCUGAAUGAACACCCAACGAGGCAUACAUGUAUAACAAUGAUUAGAAUACUGCAGUAGCAAACUAGAACACAUAACUACAAUAGCAUAUAUAACCAUUAUACUUGAUACUUCUGCCUGACGUAAAUACACAUUCAAAAACUACUGAGUUAAAUCUGGAUCUACUACUACUAAUAUACUACUACUAAUAAAAAAUAUUACACUUGUUUCAGUCAGUUUAGACUACUACUUCAACAUUACCUAUCAGUACUAUACUGAUACAUCUCUGUUUAUCCUUGUACUAGCUCCGCAUACAUCAGGAUUAAAUAUCUGGCCAUACAAAAAAUCAAUCAGCCAAUCAGGUAAUUUCUGGCAAUGUCAGACCACACACAAUAAGAUUAAAGGCUGUCUAAACAGAAUCUGUAGUAGCAAUGUCUCCCAUAGGAAGGUGAGUAGACAAUAGAUAAACUGGAAUGUUUACAUUGGCUGACCUGGAAAUGCCCAUCUCUGUAUCUCUGUGUUUGGUGUGGUUUGAUUGUCUCAUAAGGCUGAACAAGCAGAACAGUCCACCAAAUGUUUGGCAAAAUCAUACAUUAUGGCUGACCAUAUAGAAAGCCAUUCAGUCUACAGGCCAGAUUGCACUUGCUAAAAUAUGGAUAUGACCAACCUAGUCAUAUGAUCCAUUGUCAUAUUAUCACAGGUUUAUUGUGGAUAGCAAUACAGUGCUUGCCUAGUGCUGACCAGCCGACUGAUCUGACUAGGUUUUGUUUUAUAAAAAUGCGUGGAGCACAUUUCAUGUAAAAAUGAAAGAACCCUGUGUGUAUCAGGUCUAACUUACAGUUACAGUAAAGAUCCUUUAUCAUGUAGGCAUAUGGCAACAGUGUAAAGGUUGGUGGUUCAAAAACUCAAAAUUCUACUAUCUCUAAUCAGUAUUAAAAUCGAUUAUUAUAUUAUUAUGUUUUCUUCUUGCACCCCAUUACUUUCUCUUGUCUUCUUCUUUAUUUUACCAACAUAUCUUUUUGAAGGAACAGUUCUGAGCAAUAUGUGAAAUCUGUACUGCACAUCUGUUGCUCUACUAAUAAGAAUAUGUGGAGCGCAAGAAGAAAACAAAAGGGAUCGUAGUUGAGCAGAAGAAGGGAGAAUAAAAAUGAAUUUAAAGAAAUAUGUAAAGCAGAAGUCAAAGUUAGAAGAAAGAGAAAGCUUUGGUUAGAAAGCUCCAACAUUUUACACUGCUGCCAUGUGCCUAAACCACUAGCCUAUCAGAGCCAUUGAUAAUACUGGUGGUUCAAAAUGACCUUAUCCUUAUUAAGCUUGCAAUGCAGUGAUAAAAAAAA